UUAAAAUCAUACUAAAGAUGAUGCUGUGUCUGAUGAAAGUGAUUCUAAACCAUAGAAAAACGAUUCAAGACAGACAAGAGCUGCAGCAGUGGGUAGAGGACUCCUACAGAUGAGAGCUCUGUGCUCAAGCCUUGCAGAGGGAGAUGGCAGAGAGGAAGGCUGCCUGCAAGCAGCACAGGGCCUCAUCCAGCUCCUGCAGCUGUCAGUCCUCUCAGACCUCAUCCACCUGCAGCUGUCAGUCCUCUCAGACCUCAUCAACCUGCAGCUGUCAGUCCUCUGGGACCUCAUCCACCUCCUGCAACUGGCAGUCCUCCCGGAUCUCAUCUACCUGCAGCUGUCAGUCCUCCGGGACCUCAUCCACCUCCUG
Molecule: long non-coding RNA, 367 nt
Organism: Homo sapiens (human)
Lineage: Eukaryota; Metazoa; Chordata; Mammalia; Primates; Hominidae
Source: Ensembl